AUGGGGCCUCUUCAAGGUCUCUGGGCAUGGCGAACUGGAGAGCAGUGCAUGCCCAACAUAUGGCGCUCGCUUGACGCCAUGGACGACCAGGAGGGAGGCCUCAUAUUCUCCGCCCAACUUGAUCCGAUGAGGGCGGGCUUCGAUCCUACUCUGAUCAGCUUCCCUGUUCCAGCGCUAAUUAGUCGCCUUCUCGGAUGGAGUAACAACAGUGGCCAAGGAAGGCCGCAGGGAUUCGUGAUGGUCGCCGCCGCCGCUGUUGCUCUUUACGUGGCUGCACUCUUUGUUUCUGGUCAGCAGCCUCGCCGGCGACGUCUGGCUGCUUCUGCUGCAGCUAGGCCAACUUCUGCAGCCAGACCUCGUGCUCUCCCUCUGCCUGCGCCGGACGGCGGGCUCCUCAGAAUACUGUCAGGGAAUAAUCACGAAUAUCUGGAGAAGGUGGUCCACAGCGCGUCCAUCGGUGCCCGGGACGACGACGAGCCGGUUCCGGUCGCAAGAGUUCAGAGCAUGCUGGACAAGGAGCAGGAGGACGAUGUCGAGCGGUUCAAGGAGUUGUGGCUGUCGCUCGUGGAGCGGGAGCAGAGGCUAGAGCUCCAGCUGAUGCACCUCGACGGCCUUAGAGAGCAGCUCGAGCACCGCCUCAGCGUCGCCGCCCUGGAGACGUGGAUCCUGAAGCUCGAUGCCUUGCUACUCCAUGAGGAGAACGAGAGGCUCAAGGCCCAGGCGGCGGAGCUGGAGGCCGUCCGGGCCCAGCUGGGUCGCGCCAAGGAGAAGCUUCGUGCACUCAAGGAGCGGGUGCAGAUCGAGCGGGAGGAGUCUCAGAGGGAGGCGGCCACGCCCCGGGACAAGGUAAUGCAGCUGGAAAAGUCCGGCGAGAACAGGGAAAGGGUGUUGGCUGCGGAGGCGGCGACGCUACGGAAGGCCAAGGCUGGGCUGGAGGAGGAGAACAUGGAGCUUGCUCGGAGGCUGCAGCAUGUGGAGCAGGUCUCCUCCUCUGUUACUAUUAGUCUGGUUGAUGGGGACGACAUGGUGGAUGAAGCAAACUACCUUAGGGAGGCUAACGAGAGGCUGACCAGGCAGAUCGAGCAGCUACGCAGGGACCACUGCGCGCACGUCGAGGAGCUCGUCUACCUCAAGUGGGUCAACGCCUGCCUCCGCCACGACGUUCGUGGCAGAGAUCACCACCCCUCGUCCGCCGAACAAGAUGAGGACGGUGAUGGCAGAGCCAUGACGUCGUCGGCCAUGGAUCUGAGCAAGAGCAUGAGCUACCGCUCCAGCGAGAAGGCCAAAGAGCUCAUGCUGCGGUAUGGGAGCCUCGGCCUGGACGGCCACGACCCCGCGCUCUUCUCGCCUCUCAGCGAGUCGAUAGACCGCGACGGCGAAAAUCACCAGCUGCGUGUUGGAGAUCACGACGAGCCAUGGCGGAGCCCGGUCACUCCGUCAGCAGUCGUGGCCAUACCCCAGAAUCGGGUCGGGAAUGCGAAGCUCAAAUUUGUGAGAAAUAUCAAGAAGCUGCUAGCUAGCACAAGAAGAAGCCACGGCCACAACCGCAGGAGCGAGAAGAAGGCGAUGCGGUGCCUGGCCUCCAGCAGCCACGACGCGCUCUCUGGAGACAGCUCGUACGAAUCGUCGUGCCAGAGCAGCAUGACGACCGUGGACUUGGACGCCCGUGCGCGCUGCGGGAAGGCGGCCGCAGAGGUGCCCGUCGCGUCGAGGCUGGAGGCGGAUACUCAGCUGGCUAGGUCGAAGGGCUACAUGGGUGCGUCGCUCGGGCCGGAGGCGAGAAGCUAUCACGCUCUCCGGCCGGACGGCCCAGCUGGUGUUGGGUCAGACCAGUUUAAUUAG
RNAcentral lists this ribosomal RNA (1842 nucleotides) under Triticum aestivum (bread wheat). RNAcentral describes it as "partial small subunit ribosomal RNA". Lineage: Eukaryota; Viridiplantae; Streptophyta; Magnoliopsida; Poales; Poaceae. The record is from RNAcentral.